AGAGUUUGAUCCUGGCUCAGGAUGAACGCUGGCGGCGUGCUUAACACAUGCAAGUCGAACGAACCUUCGGGUUAGUGGCGGACGGGUGAGUAACGCGUGAGAAUCUGCCCUCAGGAGGGGGAUAACGGUUGGAAACGGCCGCUAAUACCCCAUAUGCCGCGAGGUGAAAUGAAUUUCGCCUGAGGAUGAGCUCGCGUCUGAUUAGCUAGUUGGUGUAGGUAAUGGCUCACCAAGGCAUCGAUCAGUAGCUGGUCUGAGAGGAUGAUCAGCCACACUGGGACUGAGACACGGCCCAGACUCCUACGGGAGGCAGCAGUGGGGAAUUUUCCGCAAUGGGCGAAAGCCUGACGGAGCAACGCCGCGUGAGGGAUGAAGGCCUCUGGGCUGUAAACCUCUUUUAUCAAGGAAGAAGAUCUGACGGUACUUGAUGAAUAAGCCACGGCUAAUUCCGUGCCAGCAGCCGCGGUAAUACGGGAGUGGCAAGCGUUAUCCGGAAUUAUUGGGCGUAAAGCGUCCGCAGGCGGCCCUUCAAGUCUGCUGUUAAAAAGUGGAGCUUAACUCCAUCAUGGCAGUGGAAACUGUUGGGCUUGAGUGUGGUAGGGGCAGAGGGAAUUCCCGGUGUAGCGGUGAAAUGCGUAGAUAUCGGGAAGAACACCAGUGGCGAAGGCGCUCUGCUGGGCCAUCACUGACGCUCAUGGACGAAAGCCAGGGGAGCGAAAGGGAUUAGAUACCCCUGUAGUCCUGGCCGUAAACGAUGAACACUAGGUGUCGGGGGAAUCGACCCCCUCGGUGUCGUAGCCAACGCGUUAAGUGUUCCGCCUGGGGAGUACGCACGCAAGUGUGAAACUCAAAGGAAUUGACGGGGGCCCGCACAAGCGGUGGAGUAUGUGGUUUAAUUCGAUGCAACGCGAAGAACCUUACCAGGGUUUGACAUCCUGCGAAUCUCUUGGAAACGAGAGAGUGCCUUCGGGAGCGCAGUGACAGGUGGUGCAUGGCUGUCGUCAGCUCGUGUCGUGAGAUGUUGGGUUAAGUCCCGCAACGAGCGCAACCCACGUCUUUAGUUGCCAGCAUUUAGUUGGGCACUCUAGAGAGACCGCCGGUGAUAAACCGGAGGAAGGUGUGGAUGACGUCAAGUCAUCAUGCCCCUUACAUCCUGGGCUACACACGUACUACAAUGCUACGGACAAAGGGCUGCAAGUUCGCGAGGACAAGCAAAUCCCAUAAACCGUGGCUCAGUUCAGAUCGUAGGCUGCAACUCGCCUACGUGAAGGAGGAAUCGCUAGUAAUCGCAGGUCAGCAUACUGCGGUGAAUACGUUCCCGGGCCUUGUACACACCGCCCGUCACACCAUGGAAGUUGGCCACGCCCGAAGCCGUUACUCCAACCCUUGUGGAGGAGGACGUCGAAGGUGGGGCUGAUGACUGGGGUGAAGUCGUAACAAGGUAUCCGUACCGGAAGGUGCGGAUG
RNAcentral lists this ribosomal RNA (1466 nucleotides) under Synechococcus sp. P1. RNAcentral describes it as "bacterial SSU rRNA". It matches the Rfam family "Bacterial small subunit ribosomal RNA". The record is from RNAcentral. Lineage: Bacteria; Bacillati; Cyanobacteriota; Cyanophyceae; Synechococcales; Synechococcaceae.